GAUGAACGCUAGCGGCAGGCUUAACACAUGCAAGUCGAGGGGCAGCAUGAAGGUUAGCAAUAACUUUUGAUGGCGACCGGCGCAAGGGUGCGUAACGCGUGAGCAACUUGCCCGUUUCAGGGGGAUAACCGGUGGAAACGCCGACUAAUACCCCAUAGUAUUGGAUUGAGGCAUCUCUUACCAAUUAAAGAAUUUCGGAAACGGAUAGGCUCGCGUGACAUUAGCUAGAUGGCGGGGUAACGGCCCACCAUGGCGACGAUGUCUAGGGGUUCUGAGAGGAAGGUCCCCCCACACUGGAACUGAGACACGGUCCAGACUCCUACGGGAGGCAGCAGUGAGGAAUAUUGGUCAAUGGUCGGAAGACUGAACCAGCCAAGUAGCGUGAAGGAUGACUGCCCUACGGGUUGUAAACUUCUUUUGUUUGGGUAAUAAAAGACGCUACGUGUAGCGUUCUGCAUGUACCUUACGAAUAAGCAUCGGCUAAUUCCGUGCCAGCAGCCGCGGU
RNAcentral lists this ribosomal RNA (505 nucleotides) under uncultured bacterium. RNAcentral's name for it is "bacterial SSU rRNA". It matches the Rfam family "Bacterial small subunit ribosomal RNA", at positions 28 to 521 of the family's 1533-position model. The record is from RNAcentral.